GCAAUGUUAAGAGAAUGCUGGAGAGGAGUUAGAUGGAGAUGUUGAGCAAGUGGAUCUGGAGCAAGAAGCAGAGAAAGCUGGAGAGUAUGUUUUAGAUGGAGACGUUAAUCAAGUGGAUUUGAAGCAACGUUAAGAGAAUGCUGGAGAGGUGUUAGAUGGAGAUGUUGAGGUAAAACAUGUCUGGAGGGUUACUUGAGCAGAUCUACAUCCUUUUCUUGCACAGUUCUUCAGUUCAGAACAAAGAUCAUGAAUGAAAAGAACAAAAGAAAAAAGAAGCAUUCCAAUCGAUUAAAAAACUUUUUUUUUAGAUUUUAUAAACCAAAACUUUAAAUCAAAUGCCUUCGUUUACUUCCUUUUAGCUAACCUGAGAUGAAAGCUCAUGUGAGCUUUUCAGAUCACUUUUUUGUAUGGCAUCUGUCUGCCAACUUUCAAAUUUUCAACUUAUUCCCUAGAACCACUUGGCUAAUUUCAACCAAACUUGGCAUGAAGAAACCUUGUGUAAAUGGCAUUCAAAUAUGUUCGAAUGAAGGGCUAAGUCAUAUCUAAAAGGGGAAUGAUUUAUAAAUCAUAUUUUUAACAAAUCUUCUCAAAAAACAUUUGGUUGGAAAAGCUGAAACUUGUGUCGAAGCAUCCUCAGGUCAUGUAGAUUCAAGUUUGUUCAAAUCAUGUUCCCAGGGGGCAAGGUUGAUCCACAAUUGUAUAAUAUAAAUAAUAUAUAAAGACAAAUCUACCAAAAACUUUUUUUUUCAAAAACCAAUAGGCCAGACAAGCUGUAAAUUGUGUUGAAGUUUGAUUAAAUCAGUAUGCCGAAGGUUAGGGAGAGGCACCAUUGGGAGGGGGGCAAUUUUUACAUAAGAAUAUAU
Long non-coding RNA from Magallana angulata, 863 nucleotides. RefSeq lists it as uncharacterized. Lineage: Eukaryota; Metazoa; Mollusca; Bivalvia; Ostreida; Ostreidae. The transcript is spliced from 4 exons. The record is from RefSeq and is a predicted model, not a curated record.